RNAcentral lists this ribosomal RNA (771 nucleotides) under uncultured Neocallimastigales. RNAcentral's name for it is "partial large subunit ribosomal RNA". It matches the Rfam family "Eukaryotic large subunit ribosomal RNA", at positions 18 to 640 of the family's 3401-position model. Lineage: Eukaryota; Fungi; Neocallimastigomycota; Neocallimastigomycetes; Neocallimastigales. The record is from RNAcentral.
UCAGACGAUGCGUCAUGCAUAUCAAUAAGCGGAGGAAAAGAAACUAACAAGGAUUCCCUCAGUAACGGCGAGUGAAGCGGGAAGAGCCCAAAUUUGAAAUCUUGAAAGGUCACCUUUCACGAAUUGUAGUUUAAAGAAGUGUUUUCUGUUACGAUCGUAAUAUAAGUUCUUUGGAAUAGGACAUCACAGAGGGUGAGAAUCCCGUCUAUGAUUGCGAUUUGUAGCUUUGUGAUACACUUUCAAAGAGUCGGGUUGUUUGGGAAUGCAGCCCAAAACGGGAGGUAAAUUUCUUCUAAGGCUAAAUAUUGGCGAGAGACCGAUAGCGAACAAGUACCGUGAGGGAAAGAUGAAAAGAACUUUGAAAAGAGAGUUAAAUAGUACGUGAAAUUGUCAAAAGGGAAGCGUUUAACACCAGUGUUGUUUUCUGAAAAUCAACCUCUGUUAGCUUUAUGCAUGUUUGUUUAGACCUAAUCAGCUAUCUUGCAUGUUCUAUUGUUUGCAGUGGUGCACUUUUCAGUUUACAGGUCAACAUCAGUUUUUUUUACCGUAAAAAAGUUAAAGAAAGGUAGCUCAUGGCUCCGGUCGUGAGUGUUAUAGUCUUUUUCCUAUGCGGUAGGAGAGACUGAGGUCUGCAGUGUAGGCUAUUUGGCUAGAUACUCAGGUGCUAUGUGAUACCAUUUCAUAAACAACUUGUUGAUUAUGUUUUGUCUAUUGCAUACUCGCUUGUACUAUCAUACCUACGCUUAGGAUGUUGAAGACUCUACAGAGAUA